This 484-nucleotide ribosomal RNA is filed under the name uncultured bacterium. RNAcentral's name for it is "partial 16S ribosomal RNA". It matches the Rfam family "Bacterial small subunit ribosomal RNA", at positions 30 to 507 of the family's 1533-position model. The record is from RNAcentral.
AUUGAACGCUGGCGGCAGGCCUAACACAUGCAAGUCGAGCGGAUGAAGGGAGCUUGCUCCUGGAUUCAGCGGCGGACGGGUGAGUAAUGCCUAGGAAUCUGCCUGGUAGUGGGGGAUAACGUCCGGAAACGGGCGCUAAUACCGCAUACGUCCGGAGGGAGAAAGUGGGGGAUCUUCGGACCUCACGCUAUCAGAUGAGCCUAGGUCGGAUUAGCUAGUUGGUGGGGUAAAGGCCUACCAAGGCGACGAUCCGUAACUGGUCUGAGAGGAUGAUCAGUCACACUGGAACUGAGACACGGUCCAGACUCCUACGGGAGGCAGCAGUGGGGAAUAUUGGACAAUGGGCGGAAGCCUGAUCCAGCCAUGCCGCGUGUGUGAAGAAGGUCUUCGGAUUGUAAAGCACUUUAAGUUGGGAGGAAGGGCAGUAAGUUAAUACCUUGCUGUUUUGACGUUACCAACAGAAUAAGCACCGGCUAACUUCGUG